Molecule: ribosomal RNA, 493 nt
Filed under: uncultured bacterium
Lineage: Bacteria
Description: partial 16S ribosomal RNA
Rfam family: Bacterial small subunit ribosomal RNA
Source: RNAcentral
GACGAACGCUGGCGGCGUGCUUAACACAUGCAAGUCGACGACGCUACUGAGUAGCAAUAUUUAGUAGUGGAGUGGCGCAAGGGUGAGUAAUGUAUACGUAACCAACCCAUCGUUGACGGAUAACAUUUCGAAAGGGAUGCUAAACCGGCAUGAAGCCACGAUUUCGCAUGAGAUUGUGGUUAAAGAACCGGUAACAGGUUGCCGAUGGCUGGGCGUAUAUCCGAUUAGCUAGUUGGUAGUGUAAUGGACUACCAAGGCGACGAUCGGUAGCUGGUCUGAGAGGAUGCUCAGCCACACUGGCACUGAGACACGGGCCAGACUCCUACGGGAGGCAGCAGUGGGGAAUAUUGGGCAAUGCCCGAAAGGGUGACCCAGCAACGCCGGGUGGAGGAUGAAGGCCGUAAGGUUGUAAACUCUGACAAGCAGGGAAGAACGGCUAUGGUAAAAGGCCAUAGAAUGACGGUACCUGCAUGAAGCCCCGGCUAACUACGUG